AGGCGGCUUGCUGGGCUUUUACUGACGCUGAGGCUCGAAAGUGUGGGGAGCAAACAGGAUUAGAUACCCUGGUAGUCCACACUGUAAACGAUGAUUACUAGGUGUGGGAGGUCUGACCCCUUCCGUGCCGCAGUUAACGCAAUAAGUAAUCCACCUGGGGAGUACGACCGCAAGGUUGAAACUCAAAGGAAUUGACGGGGGCCCGCACAAGCAGUGGAUUAUGUGGUUUAAUUCGAAGCAACGCGAAGAACCUUACCAGGUCUUGACAUCGAGUGACGAGUUUAGAGAUAAGCUUUUCCUUCGGGACACGAAGACAGGUGGUGCAUGGUUGUCGUCAGCUCGCGUCGUGAGAUGUUGGGUUAAGUCCCGCAACGAGCGCAACCCCUGCCAUUAGUUGCUACGCAAGAGCACUCUAAUGGGACCGCUACCGACAAGGUGGAGGAAGGUGGGGACGACGUCAAAUCAUCAUGCCCCUUAUGACCUGGGCUACACACGUAAUACAAUGGCCGUCAACAGAGGGAAGCAAAAUCGCGAGAUGGAGCAAACCCCUAAAAACGGUCUCAGUUCGGAUCGCAGGCUGCAACCCGCCUGCGUGAAGUU
Molecule: ribosomal RNA, 600 nt
Filed under: uncultured bacterium
Lineage: Bacteria
Description: bacterial SSU rRNA
Rfam family: Bacterial small subunit ribosomal RNA
Source: RNAcentral